CGACCUGAGGGUGAAAGCGGGGGAUCNCAAAACCUCGCGCGAUUGGAGCGGCCGAUAUCAGAUUAGGUAGUUGGUGAGGUAAAGGCUCACCAAGCCGACGAUCUGUAGCUGGUCUGAGAGGACGACCAGCCACACUGGGACUGAGACACGGCCCAGACUCCUACGGGAGGCAGCAGUGGGGAAUUUUGGACAAUGGGCGCAAGCCUGAUCCAGCCAUGCCGCGUGCGGGAAGAAGGCCUUCGGGUUGUAAACCGCUUUUGUCAGGGAAGAAAAGGUUCUGGCUAAUACCUGGGACUCAUGACGGUACCUGAAGAAUAAGCACCGGCUAACUACGUGCCAGCAGCCGCGGUAAUACGUAGGGUGCAAGCGUUAAUCGGAAUUACUGGGCGUAAAGCGUGCGCAGGCGGUUAUGCAAGACAGAGGUGAAAUCCCCGGGCUCAACCUGGGAACUGCCUUUGUGACUGCAUGGCUAGAGUACGGUAGAGGGGGAUGGAAUUCCGCGUGUA
Molecule: ribosomal RNA, 506 nt
Filed under: uncultured bacterium
Lineage: Bacteria
Description: bacterial SSU rRNA
Rfam family: Bacterial small subunit ribosomal RNA
Source: RNAcentral